AUGAUUUCACACAUCCAGCUGAUCUGGCCCCUGGCAUUCUGUGUCGCAGGUAUCAGUGGGGACAUCAUCAUGACUCAGUCUCCCCCGGUGCUGUCAGUGGGACUGGGCCAGACCGCAACACUCACCUGUACGGCCAGUCAAAGCAUUAGCAGCUACCUUGCUUGGUACCAGCAGCGAGAAGGUCAGAAACCCUCUCUCCUGAUCUAUGAUGCAACAAAUCGAUUCACAGGAGUCUCCGAGCGAUUCACCGGCAGUGGAUCAGGGACCAGUUUCACCCUGACAAUCAGCAACGUUCAGAAUGAGGAUGUCGCUGACUAUUACUGUCAGCAACGUAACAGCUGGCCGUUCACGUUCGGUCCAGGAACCAAGCUCAGACUGAGCCAUGACAACUCACAGCCCAAGCUGACACUGCUGCCCCCCUCCCUGGAGCAGGUCAAUGCCAAGGGCACUGCCACCCUGGUGUGCCUUGCCAAUCACUUCUAUCCCGAUGAGCUGGAGGUGCAGUGGAAGAAGGAUGGUGCAGUCAUUUCAGACGGGGUUCAGACCAGCAACUACCUGCGAGCUUCGGACAGCACCUACAGUGUCAGCAGCCUGCUGACCCUCUCUGGGUCUGACUGGGAGUCCAACGCUCGCUUCUCCUGUGCCCUCACCCACGUGACCCUCCCCUCUCCCCUCAGCAAGAGCAUCAGGAGAUCA
This is a non-coding RNA of Hemiscyllium ocellatum (epaulette shark), 696 nucleotides long. NCBI's taxonomy places the organism in Eukaryota, Metazoa, Chordata, Chondrichthyes, Orectolobiformes, Hemiscylliidae. The record is from the annotation of a RefSeq genome assembly.